Molecule: unclassified non-coding RNA, 352 nt
Filed under: soil metagenome
Description: partial contains 5.8S ribosomal RNA, internal transcribed spacer 2, and large subunit ribosomal RNA
Rfam family: 5.8S ribosomal RNA (bases 1-120)
Source: RNAcentral
GAUGAAGAACGUAGCGAAAUGAGAUAAGUAAUGUGAAUUGCAGAAUUCAGUGAAUCAUCGAAUCUUUGAACGCACAUUGCGCCCGCCAGUAUUCUGGCGGGCAUGCCUGUUCGAGCGUCAUUACAACCCUCAGGCCCCCGGGCCUGGCGUUGGGGAUCGGCGGAGCCCCCCGUGGGCACACGCCGUCCCCCAAAUGCAGUGGCGGUCCCGCCGCAGCUUCCAUCGCGUAGUAGCUAACACCUCGCGACUGGAGAGCGGCGCGGCCACGCCGUAAAACACCCAACUCUUCUGAAGUUGACCUCGAAUCAGGAAGGAAUACCCGCUGAACUUAAGCAUAUCAAUAAGCGGAGGA